RNAcentral lists this long non-coding RNA (5276 nucleotides) under Trifolium pratense (red clover). RNAcentral's name for it is "long non-coding RNA (TPRA_LNC004970)". The record is from RNAcentral. Lineage: Eukaryota; Viridiplantae; Streptophyta; Magnoliopsida; Fabales; Fabaceae.
UUUUUUUACACUAUAAAGCUAACAAAUGAUUCUAAUUUCUAAAUUAAUAAAAGAAAAAACUAUGGUUAAAGUUUAUAUGUUUAUUACUUAUGCUAUGGUUAUCUUUUUUUCCAUAUUUAUUUCUAUAUCAAGGGGUAAGUAAUUUUUAUUAUCCGGUAAAUUCUGGUAUCUCAAAAUUUAGUUUGAUGUAAUGGUAUUUCUAUACAAAAUUGAAUAUCAUAUUUUUAUAUUAUUAUAUAGGGUUAAAUAAAUUUUUUGUUGCUAUAAAUAUGUCCAAUAUCGUUUUUAAUUCUUAUAAAAAAUUUCAGGAAGUUUUUAUCCUCAAAUAUAUACCGUGCGAUUUUUCGUCUCUGCUUUUAGGUCAAAUCAUCUAUAUAUAUUUAUUUGGUUUACAAUGGAGUCAGUGAGAGUCGAAUUUAGGACCUCAAACAUAUAUAUUAUUCAAACCUCUAACUACUAGACCAAACCUAAUGACUUGUAAACUUACCUAUAUUAAUUGAAAUUUUUAUUGUUUUCAGCAUUCAUUACAAAAAAUUAAUCUCCCGAUCAAUCUUUCAUAAUUUUUAAUGAGUUUUUAUAUUUGCAUUUAUAAAAAUAAAAAUCUCUCCAUCAAAUAUUUAGUUUUUUACAACACAACAGAUGAAUUAGAUAUGAAUUUCUAAGUUUUUGACGCUUAAAAAAAUCAUAUUUAAUUCAUCUAAUUUAAAAAGUUCUAAAUUGUUGUGGGAGAGAUUUUUAUAUUAUUAUAAACAUAGAUACAAAAGACUCAUUCAAAAAUAUGAAAGUAUACAUGAGUUGACUUAAAAAUAGGAAUCAAAAGUUAUGAAAGAAAUAUUUGGGAGACUAAAACUUGCUAAAUUUUUUUAUAUAGACUAAAAAUGAAAUUUGAAAAUAUUUAUACUAUUCAAAAACGUGUUUAACCCUAAUUUUUAUUAAAAUAAAUUAAAAUUUUAAAUGAUUUUUAUCCAAAUUUGAUAUAUGUAUAUAAAGAUUCCUAAUAAUUUUACCUUUAAAUUUUCUUAUUCAAAUUGUUUCACCGUCAUUUUGAUAACGUUCUUUUUCUUAUUAGCUACGUGUCGAAAUAACGCGGAUUGUCAAAAUUAUGUUUGUAUCGAUGCUGGCGAUGUUCCAAUCUGCGUCUUUUGGGUUACGGAGCCUGAAUUUAAAAGGACAGAGUUUGGGGUUUGUGCAUGUGUCGAGAAGGUCACAAAGCACAAAAUUAGUGGCUAGAUUGUGAAUAUAUACAUACUCCCUCCAGUCCUUAAUAUAAGAAAAAAUUUAUUUUUUAGAUUCAUGGAAUCUAGAAAACUGGGCCAAUUAUUCUUAAAAAUGGACCAAAUAUAUCAAUCAUUCGAUGAAUUUAGAAAACAAAAGUUUUCUUAUGUAAGGGACCAGAGGGAGUAUUUAUAAAGAACCCGUAAAAGGUAAUUAAAAUAAAAAUAAAAUUAUGUUGCUGCUCUGUUUGUUUCAUACUUAUAUUUAUUUUAGUAAAUUAUACUCCCCUAUUUUGAAUAAUAUUUUUCUCCUCUCUUAUAUGUUACAAGAUCGGAUAAUAGUCUUGCUUCUCUUAUAAAAUUUCAUCAUGCUUUUAUAUAUAUUAUCUUUUAAAAGGAAGUUUGAGUAACUCCUAGACAAGCUUUGUGAUGAUGUGACAUAUCUAAAUGAAUUCCAAUUCUACAUUUUCUAUUAACUUUGCUCCAUGAUAUGACUAGUACAAAAAACGUUUUUUAAGUCGGUUAAAAACGACUAUUUAAAUCGGUUCCUAACCUGACUUAACAGUUACAGUCAUUAUAAGUUUUGAUAUGUUAAGUCAGAUUUUUAGCCGACUUAAGAAUACACUUCUUAAGUUUGUUGAUUUGUCAUUUAACCGACCUACAACGUACUUCUUAAGUCAGGUAAUUGCUUAACAACAGACUUAACAAGAUUUUUCUUAAGUCGGUCAAUAUUGUACACAUUGUCAAAUUAAAUAAAACUACUUUUUUUUUUUCCUAAGUGUACUGGGUUCGAUUCACUCAUGGCAUUGUCAUUUAAUUUGUUAAAUUAAAUAAAAUUGCUUAGGUCAGGCGCGGGAGAACAGACUUAACAAAUAUAUAUAUCACUUAUUGAGUUUUGAAUUUUCCAUCCUGCAUCGCUUCUAUUCCUAAGGCAGUUCAUUGGGGAAAGUCCCAACCCAGAAAAAUAAAACGAAAAAAGAGGCAAGACAGAGUGUGAAAGGAAAGGCAGAUUGACUAAUUGGUUGAAUAAGUUCUAGGUUCACAGUAAAAUAUACUACUUUUGUCAAUUUUAAUAAAAUUAAUUAAAUCUUUUUGUGAUGACAAUUAACUUUAAAUCUCUAUUUAAUGUAAAACUAUUUUCAGAUUAUCAUUUAAGAAAUUAAAUUUCUUUUUUUUUUUUUGAAAAUUUUAUCAUUACUCAUAUGAUUUCAGAAUAUAAAAAUUUAUUUAAAGUAUUUUUUAAAAAUUGGCUAUAGUAAUUUAUUCAAAUAUUUUAUUUUGUAUAGUUUAAUAAUUUAUGAGAUCGGCUGUCUAGAAUUAUAUGUUAAUGAUGUGAAUAAAAAAUAUGAAAAUAAAUGUAUUAAAAGUUUGAUUAUAUUAAAUAGAUAGAAGUGUUUCUUAGAAAAGUGUAGAUUUUAUAUUAUUAAGAAAAAUGUAGAUUUUAAGAUGAGGGGGAAAAGAAAAAAAAAUUCAAGCUCUUUAUGUAACAAAAAAAAUUAUUAAAACCCAAAUAAGCACAAGAAGUGCAUACAAGGGUAGUGAUGGGGAACACUAAUCAGUGUUGCACAAAAGGUAGAAGAGAGAUCAUUAGACACUAAAAAAAAGUGUCUAAUUGCAGUAUGUUUAUUGCGGCGGUUGACACGAAACCUAUUUAUUAGAUUAUUGUUAUUUAUUUGUUUAAGUAUUUCUUCAUAUUUUGUCAUUUUUUCUAUUUUGUGUGCUUGUGGAAGGGUCAGUAUAUAAUAUUAGAAUUUGUUAGUAAACUCAAAUUUAGAAUUUUAGACAAUAAAAUUAGAAGAGAAUUAGUAGUUAGAAAUUGACAACUAUUGAGAAAUUGUUAGCGCAUAUAAUAGACAAGUUUAGUAGGUGAGUUUAUGAUUUAUUUUAGUUAGAGUAGAAAAAUAGAAAACAUUAAUAGUAAUAAUAUGAAAAUAGUAAUGGACUUGGGUUGAGUUAUGAGGAAGUAGAGUAGGGGUGUAGAGAGCAAGCCCAAGGAUAAAAUAAGGAUAAUUACUUAUUUUAUUUAUAAUAAUUGGUCGGGAAAUGAGGGUGUUACAAAACCCACUAUUUCAAGAGAAAUUCGAGGCAGAAAUUUUUGAAAAAAGGAGCAAUUCAGGUUUAAACUUGGUAUCAUCUUUGAAGGAUGAAUUCAAGUGCUUUUCAAAGUAAUGAUAUUGUCAGUCUCUCCAAGAGAUAGCUUCCUAAGCAUCUGACCUAUGACAAGCAUUAUCUGUAAUUUCUGUCAAAAGGUAUCAAGAUUAAUCUCUCUGCAUCAAGGAAAGUCUUGAUAAAUCCAUAGCUCGUGUUGCACAUCCAAGAUUGCUCUCUGAAUUAUUCUAUCAAACUAAGUUAAUAGAAAGGUUGAAAGAAUACUUUGAAGCUAAUGUGGAAGAAACUAUAGGAUGCAUUCUGGAUGCUGAGAUUCUGAUUGAGUUGGAUUUAAAAUGGAAGGAUGAAAUUAGGACCCAUUAGAAUCUCUGAAGUUAAGGUCUGAAGAACCCUUGUUUUUCGAAGACUUUUCGUCUAUCUCUGACGAAGUGUGAAGAUAAGUCAUUCUAAGUUAUCUUAAAAUGGUCAGAAUGGAAACGAAUGUCACUGGUUCAGGAGAUGGAGCUCCUAAUGUAUCUGGAGAUAAUUUGCAGUCAGCUGGAAAGAGAAAGAGGAAGACAAAGAAGGUGGGUUCUAUAAGGAUGAAGGGUCAGAGAUAGAGGCAGAUGAUAGGGACCGGAUUGGUGAACUGCAUCUAUCUCUAACCAUGUGGUCUAUACUGUAAUGUCUUUUUAUUUUCAAACACAUCUAUCUCAAUAAAAACAGAACAUGCUCAAAUUACAUCACAGUUUUGUAGUUUGUUUCUUUAUUCUUGAGUUAUGUUUACAUUGAAAAAGUAUCACCGUAGCAAAUGUAGGAUUCAUGAGGCAGGUAGUUAUUGCACCCCCAUCACAGGUACCUGAUCGUUGCUCACUACAAGAAAAUCCCCAUUUAGUGGCCGCAUUUGGCCACCACAAAAUGGGAAAAACGGCUACAAAAUUGAAAACCUGUCCGAUUUAUCAGCGGUACGGUCAUGGUCGGCCGCAAAAAAUGUUGCUGGUAACACUUACCGGCGGUUUAAUCAGCCGNNCAGGCCCGCCGCAAGUUAGUUAUUACUAGUAUUUUUUAAGAAAAAGUUAAAAUCACUUCCGGAAAUUCCAUCGCAGGUUCAUGUUCUUCUUGAGCAACCAAAAAUGUAUUGAAUGAAGAUGCCCCUAAAUUCACAAACCCAUAAUUGAUUUUGCAAACCUAGAAUUUCGCAAACCCAUAAUUGAUUUUGCAAAUCUAGAGUUUUCUUCUUGUUGUUAGAUGUUGUGUUUCUCUAUGUUGGAAAAGAGAAAGAAUUUUUUUCUUUGCCUUAAAAAGAGAAAGAGUUGUGAUGCUGUUGUGUUUAUGUGAGUAGGAAAAGAGAAAAGAGAUUUUUUUCUUUUUAAGAUAUGCAUUAUUUACCGGUGGCUUAUGCCGUCAUUAAUGAAACUAUCAUAUCAAUUUACCGGCGGUUUAGGCUCCACUAAAUAAUACUAUGUCUUAAAAAUAUAUUAUUGUUUAAUUUUGUGAGGAUUUUUUCUAACUCACGUAUUAUUUAAAUAGGGGAUUUUUUCUAACUCACGUAUUAUUUAAUUUAGGCAUAUAUUUUUCUAUAUAUAGAGGAUGCUUUAUUCAUAGAAAAAAAAAGAGACUAGAUUAGCGAUUAAGGAUAAUUUCCACCAACACAAAGGUUUGGGUUUUAGAGAGAAACAAGAGGGGUUGUCUCUUAGUAUAAUUCUAGGGUUAGGCAAAAGGUUAUUCAAUUAACCUUGGGAAACACUUAUCAAAUUGAGUCUCUUUGUCACGGAAAGAGAUUCGGGAAAAGGGUAGAGUUAGGUUUGAAGGCUAAUUCUUAUAACCCUCUUUUGGGAAUUUUGUGUAAGUUUGCUGUAUUUGAUAUCGUGGAACGGAGCGCUGCUGUCUGCCCAAGACUAAGUUAAUUUGGACCGCACUAGGUAAACAAUUUUCUUUUCCUUUUAGAUUAUUAUUAUUAUUAUUAUUAUUAUU